ACGGAGGCAGCAGUGAGGAAUAUUGGUCAAUGGGCGGAAGCCUGAACCAGCCAAGUCGCGUGAAGGAUGGAGGUAUUAUGUAUUGUAAACUUCUUUAGUCGCAGAGAAAUAAGGUGCUCGUGAGCACUGAUGCUAGUAUGCGAAGAAUAAGGAUCGGCUAACUCCGUGCCAGCAGCCGCGGUAAUACGGAGGAUCCGAGCAUUAUCCGGAUUUAUUGGGUUUAAAGGGUGCGCAGUCGGUCUUUUAAGUCAGUGGUCAAAUCGUGGGGCUCAACCCCGUCCCGCCAGUGAUACUGGAGGACUUGAUUGCUGUCGAGGUUGUCGGAAUUCGUCGUGUAGCGGUGAAAUGCAUAGAUAUGACGAAGAACACCGAUUGCGUAGGCAGCUGACCAGGCCGUAAAUGACGCUCAUGCACGAAAGUGCGGGGAUCGAACAGGAUUAGAUACCCUGGUA
This 452-nucleotide ribosomal RNA is filed under the name uncultured Porphyromonadaceae bacterium. Its description in RNAcentral is "partial 16S ribosomal RNA". It matches the Rfam family "Bacterial small subunit ribosomal RNA", at positions 341 to 792 of the family's 1533-position model. Lineage: Bacteria; Pseudomonadati; Bacteroidota; Bacteroidia; Bacteroidales; Porphyromonadaceae. The record is from RNAcentral.